GACGAACGCUGGCGGCGUGCUUAACACAUGCAAGUCGAACGGAAAGGCCCUGCUUUUGUGGGGUGCUCGAGUGGCGAACGGGUGAGUAACACGUGAGUAACCUGCCCUUGACUUUGGGAUAACUUCAGGAAACUGGGGCUCAUACCGGAUAGGAGCUCCUGCUGCAUGGUGGGGGUUGGAAAGUUUCGGCGGUUGGGGAUGGUCUCGCGGCUUAUCAGCUUGUUUGUGGGGUAGUGGCUUACCAAGGCUUUGACGGGUAGCCGGCCUGAGAGGGUGACCGGCCACAUGGGGACUGAGAUACGGCCCAGACUCCUACGGGAGGCAGCAGUGGGGAAUAUUGCACAGUGGGCGGAAGCCUGAUGCAGCAACGCCGCGUGCGGGAUGACGGCCUUCGGGUUGUAAACCGCUUUCGCCUGUGACGAAGCGUGAGUGACGGUAAUGGGUAAAGAAGCACCGGCUAACUACGUG
RNAcentral lists this ribosomal RNA (468 nucleotides) under uncultured bacterium. RNAcentral's name for it is "partial 16S ribosomal RNA". It matches the Rfam family "Bacterial small subunit ribosomal RNA", at positions 28 to 507 of the family's 1533-position model. The record is from RNAcentral.